AUGGCACCCAAGCGCCCUGUUGCCUCGCUUCCGAUCGCCAUGGCCGAGGCGAGCCGGAGCUCUCCUCCGGCAUACGAGCUCCAACGCCGGCCCCUUCUUCCUCCACGACCCUGUUCCCGCUGCGAUCCAAGGCCGGAGACGCCAAGUUCCUCGGCGUCCUCUUCCUCUGCUUCAUCUCCUUCACGGUUCAGAGGAACGCCAAGUUCCUCCUCGUCGUCUUCAUCUUCUUCAUCUACGGCAGGUGCUCGUCGCCGGUCAACUUCGUCGCAUUCCAUCGUCCCCGAGCUCGAUCGACUCCUCCGAGCCCCUCUAUUUGCAGGUACAGGUUAUGCGAUGAUCAUGACGCGAGAGCGAUGUUUAUAG
Molecule: ribosomal RNA, 363 nt
Filed under: Triticum aestivum (bread wheat)
Lineage: Eukaryota; Viridiplantae; Streptophyta; Magnoliopsida; Poales; Poaceae
Description: partial small subunit ribosomal RNA
Source: RNAcentral